GACACUAUGGCCGAGUGGUUAAGGCGACAGACUCGAAUUAGGCGAAUUCCUCUUAGGACUUUGCCGCUGCACGUGAUCUGUUGGGUUCGCCCGCACAGGUUCAAAUCCUGUUGGUGUCG
Molecule: transfer RNA, 119 nt
Filed under: Capronia epimyces CBS 606.96
Lineage: Eukaryota; Fungi; Ascomycota; Eurotiomycetes; Chaetothyriales; Herpotrichiellaceae
Rfam family: tRNA
About the family: Transfer RNA (tRNA) molecules are approximately 80 nucleotides in length. Their secondary structure includes four short double-helical elements and three loops (D, anti-codon, and T loops).
Source: Rfam by way of RNAcentral